CCUGGACCGCCCCAAGCUGUCGCAGACCCGUCUUAAACACAGGAGGCGCUGUUUUCGUGGAAAUCCCCCGGCUGCGAACCUGGGAUCCCUGACCUGGAUCAAGUCUCCGAAGCUGGCAGAGUCCAUUCUGCAUCACCGGUCUUGGGCUUUGAAGAAGCCUAGGAGAAAUUCCGCUUCGGCCAUCACGCUAUGAAAAGUGGAUUUUUUUUUCUUAAGUCAAUUUUUUUUUUUUGAAAAUAUGAGACUUAGUAGGUUUGGGAAGUGGGCUAAAAGAACAUUUGAUAUUGUAAUUGACCCCCCCUUUAAGGUGACAGUGUUUUUCCCCUACUUAAAGCGCCAACUUUUUUGUGCACUAUAAAAGCUAUUACUAUCCAUAAAUUGUUACUCUCGGUAGAAAAUAACCUAGUCUUGCUCGGUGUUAUUGAAGAGCCAAGAGGGUAUUGGAGAAUCACCUCCAGAAGGAACAAGGAAGCUCAUUAGCACUGAAAGUCCCCCGGAUCAGGCCCAGGAAGCUAAGCAUCCGUAUACUUUACAAAUGGAACUAAAGUCAGCUACUAAUGGGAACUUUGCACAAAAGAAUUAGUUUCUGACACACAAUUCGCAGAUACAUUUA
RNAcentral lists this long non-coding RNA (613 nucleotides) under Homo sapiens (human). RNAcentral's name for it is "non-protein coding lnc-FOXA1-2:3". The record is from RNAcentral. Lineage: Eukaryota; Metazoa; Chordata; Mammalia; Primates; Hominidae.